GCAAACUUGGUCAUUUAGAGGAAGUAAAAGUCGUAACAAGGUUUCCGUAGGUGAACCUGCGGAAGGAUCAUUAAUGAAUGAAGUAUAGAGUUGAGCUGACUCUUCGGAGUAUGUGCUUGCUCUAUCACUAAUUUCAAUUAUCAUCUCUUGUGCACCUUUGUAGCAUUGUGAUAAACACUCAGUCGAAAUCAAAAAGACUGGACUUUGUGGGCCUUUAGAGAGUGACUCUAAUGUCCUUGUACUUCACAGUCUACGUUUCAUAACAAACACUUUAAAAGUUUAGAAUGUGUAUAGUUGAUCUGUGAUGGAUCAAUAUAAUCUAUACAACUUUCAGCAACGGAUCUCUUGGCUCUCGCAUCGAUGAAGAACGCAGC
Molecule: unclassified non-coding RNA, 374 nt
Filed under: uncultured fungus
Lineage: Eukaryota; Fungi
Description: partial contains small subunit ribosomal RNA, internal transcribed spacer 1, and 5.8S ribosomal RNA
Rfam family: Eukaryotic small subunit ribosomal RNA (bases 1-73)
Source: RNAcentral